Molecule: ribosomal RNA, 598 nt
Filed under: Saitozyma flava
Lineage: Eukaryota; Fungi; Basidiomycota; Tremellomycetes; Tremellales; Trimorphomycetaceae
Description: eukaryotic LSU rRNA
Rfam family: Eukaryotic large subunit ribosomal RNA
Source: RNAcentral
UAGCGGCGAGCGAAGCGGGAAGAGCUCAAAUUUGUAAUCUGGCGUCCUCAGGGCGUCCGAGUUGUAAUCUAUAGAGACGUUUUCCGUGCCGGACCGUGUCCAAGUCCCUUGGAACAGGGUAUCAAAGAGGGUGACAAUCCCGUACUUGACACGACGACCGGUGCUCUGUGAUACGUUUUCUACGAGUCGAGUUGUUUGGGAAUGCAGCUCAAAAUGGGUGGUAAAUUCCAUCUAAAGCUAAAUAUAGGCGAGAGACCGAUAGCGAACAAGUACCGUGAGGGAAAGAUGAAAAGCACUUUGGAAAGAGAGUUAAACAGUAUGUGAAAUUGUUGAAAGGGAAACGAUUGAAGUCAGUCAUGUCCAUUGGAUUCAGCUGGUUCUGCCAGUGUAUUUCCUUUGGACGGGUCAACAUCAGUUUGAGCCGGCGGAUAAUGGCAGAGGGAAUGUGGCACCCCCGGGUGUGUUAUAGCCCUUUGUCGCAUACGUCGGCCCAGACUGAGGAAUGCAGCUCGCCUUUAUGGCCGGGGUUCGCCCACGUACGAGCUUAGGAUGUUGGCAUAAUGGCUUUAAACGACCCGUCUUGAACCACGGACCAAAA